Long non-coding RNA from Linepithema humile (Argentine ant), 441 nucleotides. RefSeq lists it as uncharacterized. Lineage: Eukaryota; Metazoa; Arthropoda; Insecta; Hymenoptera; Formicidae. The record is from RefSeq and is a predicted model, not a curated record.
CAGCUCCUUCCUUACUUCAUCGUCCCUCGCCCACAACCGGUUUGCCUGAGGUAACCUUCUCUCUACAGAUCUUGUGAUGUGGUUACGUACGUAAUGAUUAGUGAUGAUUAUAUACGGAUAUAUAUUUUUAAACGUCUAUUGUUGAUUUGGAUCUUAUAUUUUGCAAUACCAUACAUCUGCUGCGCAUCGAGGUACUUCAAUAAAUCCGAUGAAGGAUAUGCAUUAGUGCGAUUCCCUAAAGAAGACCAAUAUCAAAAAGCAUGGUCAGAUGCUGUUUGGGGCGAGAAUGCGUCAAAACGUUCCCUGGAAAAUCUUAGAUUGUGUGUAGUACACUUUGAGCCAUCCGUAUUUUUUGGUAGUGGGUCGCCGAAAAGAAAUAAAAAAAUAUAUAUUUUAAAAAUAUUAUUUACAAAAUAAUAUAAAUUCAAUAAAAUUUAAACU